CAAAUAAACAGUAAGAAA
This 18-nucleotide unclassified non-coding RNA is filed under the name Mus musculus (house mouse). Its description in RNAcentral is "oocyte_clustered_small_RNA12280". Lineage: Eukaryota; Metazoa; Chordata; Mammalia; Rodentia; Muridae. The record is from RNAcentral.